CUCUCAAGUUAACGACUCCCAGCUGUAAGUGCAUCUUAGCUUUAUGUUCCAUCAAAAGUUUUAUGUUCUAUUUUAAGUGUUGGUCAUUUAUGCAAAUCUAAAGCAUGUUUAGCUAGACAACAAAUUGCAAUUUGGUCAAAUUUUGGCAGAUGCUUUUGGGACAGAAGACUUUAUUGUCUGAACUUAUUAAAAAUAAAUGGUUGACGCACGCAACCUUACUCCUAUUUUGCAAAGAGUUCAUUUUGGAAAGAGUUUGUUUUCGUGGCUCAAAUCUGUAACCUCCGGGACACAAAUGGGAUAAAAUAUUGGAAAAGUAAUUUAUGUAGUUGUAUAACUAAUUCAGGAUUAGUGGUUAAUUUAAUUGAGUUUUAUGAAAACAAUCUGAUCAAAGGGAAAAAGGAAAUAUUUAGAACAUGGGAGUUCUUUUUCUUUUUUUAUUGGAUUUCCACUGUCUUUUCACUGCUGCAUCAGUUUGCCCUGAUUAGCCUCUGCCUUGGGGUAGCGGCUAUCAGAUUCUUGGUUGCAUGGUUACAUUUUCCACCACUGGAGAAGGCAUUGGUUACUGUUGCAUUAAUAUUUUUACCUACUAGUUGCUUCUCUCAUGUAAUGGUUGCUUCGACUAUUCAUUAAUGAUAACUGUUUAAAAGUUGUGAGCUGUGUAUUGAAUAAGUUUGGUACUGAAUGUUGAUAUCAUUACAAUCUUGUAUAGCUUGAAAUGCUUUGUGGAUUCUCAAUAACAGAGCUCGUAAUUUUCUCAAACGUGUCUAUUUUCUAGUCGGCAGGCAUUUACUCUGGUUGAUUUUGUGUUUCUUUAUGUGAAUUAUUCCAUGUUUUCUUCACUGAUUUUUUUCAUAUUUUCUGUUGCAUAGAGAGGUAGAAGCACUAAAUUAACUUUGGCUUGUUGAUUUGUGACAGUUGGUGAUCUGAACCAUCUAAUCU
This 939-nucleotide unclassified non-coding RNA is filed under the name Hevea brasiliensis (rubber tree). Lineage: Eukaryota; Viridiplantae; Streptophyta; Magnoliopsida; Malpighiales; Euphorbiaceae. The record is from RNAcentral.